GUCCAGACUCCUACGGGAGGCAGCAGUGAGGAAUAUUGGUCAAUGGGCGGAAGCCUGAACCAGCCAAGUCGCGUGAGGGAAUAAGGCCCUACGGGUCGUAAACCUCUUUUGCCGGGGAGCAAGGGCGGGGACGUGUCCCGGCCCGGAGAGUACCCGGAGAAAAAGCAUCGGCUAACUCCGUGCCAGCAGCCGCGGUAAUACGGAGGAUGCGAGCGUUAUCCGGAUUUAUUGGGUUUAAAGGGUGCGUAGGCGGGCUUUUAAGUCAGCGGUAAAAAUUCGGGGCUCAACCCCGUCCGGCCGUUGAAACUGGCGUGCUCGAGUUGGAGAGAAGUAUGCGGAAUUCGUGGUGUAGCGGUGAAAUGCAUAGAUAUCACGCAGAACUCCGAUUGCGAAGGCAGCAUACCGGCGCCCAACUGACGCUGAAGCACGAAAGCGUGGGUAUCGAACAGGAUUAGAUACCCCAGUAUC
RNAcentral lists this ribosomal RNA (468 nucleotides) under uncultured bacterium. RNAcentral's name for it is "bacterial SSU rRNA". It matches the Rfam family "Bacterial small subunit ribosomal RNA", at positions 329 to 795 of the family's 1533-position model. The record is from RNAcentral.